This 459-nucleotide ribosomal RNA is filed under the name uncultured bacterium. RNAcentral's name for it is "bacterial SSU rRNA". It matches the Rfam family "Bacterial small subunit ribosomal RNA", at positions 343 to 793 of the family's 1533-position model. The record is from RNAcentral.
UGGAGGCAGCAGUAAGGAAUUUUGCGCAAUGGGCGAAAGCCUGACGCAGCAACGCCGCGUGAGUGAUGAAGGCUUUCGGGUCGUAAAGCUCUGUCAGGGGGAAAGAAGUGUAUUGUGGUUAAUACCCAUGAUACUUGGCGGUACUCCCAAAGGAAGCACCGGCUAACUCCGUGCCAGCAGCCGCGGUAAUACGGGGGGUGCGAGCGUUGUUCGGAAUUAUUGGGCGUAAAGCGCGUGUAGGCGGUUUGUUAAGUCUGAUGUGAAAGCCCUGGGCUCAACCCAGGAAGUGCAUUGGAAACUGGCAGACUUGAAUACGGGAGAGGGUAGUGGAAUUCCUGGUGUAGGAGUGAAAUCCGUAGAUAUCAGGAGGAACACCGGUGGCGAAGGCGGCUGCCUGGACCGAUAUUGACGCUGAGACGCGAAAGCGUGGGUAGCAAACAGGAUUAGAUACCCGAGUAG